RNAcentral lists this ribosomal RNA (308 nucleotides) under Tyrphonothrus sculptus. Its description in RNAcentral is "eukaryotic LSU rRNA". It matches the Rfam family "Eukaryotic large subunit ribosomal RNA", at positions 666 to 944 of the family's 3401-position model. The record is from RNAcentral. Lineage: Eukaryota; Metazoa; Arthropoda; Arachnida; Sarcoptiformes; Malaconothridae.
CCAAGGAGUCUAACAUGUGCGCGAGUCACUCGGUCUUGAAUAGGCCAGAGAGGCACAAUGAAAGUAAAGUUGAUUGAGUUACGAUCCUUAGUUAGCCCGUAAGGGCGCUGAGGCGCAGUAACAGCCCGCCAAUUUCGCUUAUUGACGAUCUGGCGGAGUUGUAGCGUACACGUUGGUACCCGAAAGAUGGUGAACUAUGCCUGGGCAAGACGAAGCCAGAGGAAACUCUGGUGGAGGUCUGUAGCGAUUCUGACGUGCAAAUCGAUCGUCAGACCUGGGUAUAGGGGCGAAAGACUAAUCGAACCAUC